This is a non-coding RNA of Fusarium redolens, 99 nucleotides long. The record is from the annotation of a RefSeq genome assembly. Lineage: Eukaryota; Fungi; Ascomycota; Sordariomycetes; Hypocreales; Nectriaceae.
GACAACGUGGCUGAGUGGUUAAGACGAUGCCCUGCUAUCUCCUCGAGACAUCAUAGACAUUGUGUUCGCACGCUUAGGUUCGAAUCCUGGCCGUUGUCG